Sapajus apella (tufted capuchin) is the source of this 123-nucleotide long non-coding RNA. RefSeq lists it as uncharacterized. The record is from RefSeq and is a predicted model, not a curated record. Lineage: Eukaryota; Metazoa; Chordata; Mammalia; Primates; Cebidae. The transcript has 2 exons.
GGCCGGGCACAGUGGCUCACACCUGUAAUCCCAGCAUUUAGGAGGCCGAGGAGUGUGGAACCCUGAGGUCAGGUAUUCUGGAACAGCCUGGCCAACAUGGUAAAAGCUUGUUUCUACUAAAAA